AUGGAAGUAACAGUGGCAACCUGGGCCGCUGUGAGCCUUGUUUUGGCUAGCAUAGUAACAAGAUGGGUGUGGGGUAUUCUGGAUCGGUUGUGGUUUAAGCCAAAGAAGCUAGAAAGAUAGCUAAGAGAGCAAGGCCUCAAAGGCAACACCUACAGGUUCAUGUAUGGAGACUUGAAGGAGAACGCCAACCUUCUUGAACAAGCAUCAUCUAUACCCAUGAACCUCUCAACCUCCCAUGACAUAGUACCACGAGUCACCCCUCUUGACGAUCAAACCCUGAAAACUUACGGUAAGGACUCUUUUGUGUGGAUUGGGACCUCACCAAUGGUUCACAUAAUGAAUCCGGAAGAUGUGAAACUUAUCCUCACAAAAAUGGAUAGUUUUCCGAAACCAGAACCAAGCCCACUUAUUAAGUUGCUAGCACAAGGUAUUGCAGCCUAUGAAGGAGAGAAAUGGGUUAAGCACAGAAGAAUUAUCAACCCUGCAUUCCAUGUGGAGAAGCUAAAGCGUAUGUUACCAGCAAUCCACGAAAGUUGUAAUGAUAUGAUCAAGGAAUGGGAGAGCUCAGUGUCUAAAGGGGGUUCAUUAUGUGAGUUGGAUGUCUUCCCUUCUCUUCAACAUUUAACAGCCGAUGUGAUUUCUAGAACAGCAUUUGGGAGUAGCUAUCAAGAAGGGAGGAAAGUAUUUGAACUCCUAAAAGAACAGACAGGAUAUGCAUUAAAAGCCGUACUUUAUAUUUCUGUUCCAGGAUGGAGGUUUGUACCAACUAAGAUGAACAGGAGGAUGAAGCAAAUUGACAAAGAAAUAAGAGGUUUACUCAAGGGUAUUAUAGCUAAAAGAGAGCAGGACAUCAAGGCAGGUGAAGCCACUAAAGAUGAUCUAAUAGGAGCACUUCUUGAGUCUAGCUUGAACGAUAUCCAGGAGAAUGGGAAGAACAACAAAAAUGUUGGGAUGAGUAUUGAAGAGUGUAGGCUGUUUUACUUUGCUGGGCAAGAGACCACUUCAGUGUUGCUGGUUUGGACGAUGAUUUUACUUGCUCAAAAUCAGGAUUGGCAAGACCGAGCAAGACAAGAGGUUCUGCAAGUCUUCGGAAGCAACAAGCCAGACUACGAUGGCCUAUCUCAUCUGAAAGUUGUAACUAUGAUUUUACAUGAAGUUCUUCGACUAUACCCACCACUGGUUGAGAUGUCUCGAACCGUUCCCACGAACACACAGCUUACAAAAGUCUUAUUGCCAGCUGGAGUCGAUGUAGGCUUACCAACACUGCUCAUUCACCAUGAUAAGGAACUGUGGGGUGAUGAUGCAAACGAGUUCAAGCCAGAGAGGUUUUCUGAAGGAGUUUCUAGGGCAACAAAGAACCGAUUAUCAUUCUUCCCCUUCGGUGCCGGUCCUCGGAUCUGUGUUGGACAGAACUUUGCCAUGAUAGAAGCGAAACUGGCCUUAUCAUUGAUCUUGCAACACUUCACCUUUGAGCUUUCUCCAUCUUAUACUCAUGCUCCUUUCUCACGUAUAAUUAUUCAACCCCAACAUGGUGCUCCUAUCAUUUUACACAAGCGUUAA
Molecule: RNA transcript, 1560 nt
Organism: Fragaria vesca subsp. vesca
Lineage: Eukaryota; Viridiplantae; Streptophyta; Magnoliopsida; Rosales; Rosaceae
Gene name: secologanin synthase-like
Exons: 5
Source: RefSeq, a predicted model, not a curated record